Long non-coding RNA from Mus musculus (house mouse), 677 nucleotides. RefSeq annotates it as predicted gene, 41047. Lineage: Eukaryota; Metazoa; Chordata; Mammalia; Rodentia; Muridae. The record is from RefSeq and is a predicted model, not a curated record. The transcript is spliced from 4 exons.
AGAACUUCCUUUAGCUGCUCCUGUAGCAUAUAUUUGCUGAAGAUGACUCCUUUUUAGUUUCCUUCUGUAAACACCCUGAGAGAUUUUUUACUUCCUGGACUGUGUGGUUGCUGAUGUGAAAUCACCAUCAUUUGAAUUUGUUUGCCUCUCUACAUGGAUGAGCCAUGCCCUCUGCCAUGAUGUGUUCCACUUCCGGGAGAGCCGUCAUAAGAAUCACUGUGGCGCUGCUGGGACAGUCAACCUCCCCAAAUUGUGCUCUAAGUCAACAAUAUUGCAUUUUCAGGGAUCCCUGAGAACCAUAUUGGCCAUAGCACUAUGCCUGCAGUACCAAAUGGUGAAAACAGACCUGAAUGGCCCUGAGGGAAGCCAAGAGACAUAAUGAUGCUAACUGCUGCCCUGUUUGUCCAUGUCAGAACAUGUGAUGACCAGUAUCUGUGAGCGUGUGAAGAGGCUACCCUGCCUACCUCUGCUGAUUCUCCACAAGCUCUUCCUAACACAUCCAAGGUUCUUUUGCAGUGUAAAAGGACAGAAGCCCUAGAAACUAUGGCGCCAGCUUUGGAAGGCAGGUGUGACUGGUCAGUGAUCAGCAGUGAUGCCCCACUGGUCCUGUGACCUCUGUGCUGAUUCUCCACCUGCACAACUGAAAACUCCAGGCACUUGCUAACACCGGCAGAAGA